ACUAGAAAAACACUCUCUUAGUUAAAUUCCCCCAACACAGACACAACAUCACAAAACACAAAAACACAGACACUUACCUGGUACAACAUUUCAUUUCCCACGGAUGGGAUUCAGUCAGAGCAACAGCCGUGCAGACGAAUCCCAGAUGGUCAACCUUUGAGAGAAGAAGACAUGAGAGAAAUUGGAUUUCCAAAUUAGACACCCUCCAUCCUAGAGGCCUGAAUGAGAAAAAAAAAACAAAAAAAAAAAACACCAUUAUUCUAAUUAGAGACACUUAACCGCUCUUCCCCAUUUCGGCCAGCAGAGGGAGUUGCUAAACAGUCCCUCUCCAUCACCAGAUUUUUUCACCCCCUGUAAAUUAUUUUUCCAGAAUCUAUUCUCAUAUGGCCUUGCCCCAAAGAUUUUUAAUCCUAAUCCUAACCAAAUUGAACCUGAGAGCCCUAAACCUAAUUAGAUUGUGAUUGAAUAAAAUAAUUGAUUUCAUAUUACCCAGAGGGGAGAGCGAGAUCUGCGUGGGGACAGAAAUGGUCCGUGCACGAGGGCUCCGGGCGUAUAGCUUGGAACCCUCACCCCAACCCUAACACCUAACCCUAACCCUAACCCUAACCCUAACCCAUCUCCAUAUAGCCCUGCCCAAAGAUUUCUGCCCCUAAACCUAACCGUCUCUGACUGGAAGGCCCUAAGCCUAAUCAGAUUGUGAGAAUUAGAUUCAACACAAAAAAUACUAAAUUUUAAAUAUUCUAUAUGGUCUGGAGAGGAGGGCGAGAUCUGAGUGGAGACAGAAAUGGUCUGUACAUAUGGGGGUUCCAGGUUUACAGCGUGGAGCUCUCGCCCCAACCCUAACACCUAACUCGUCUGAACCUUCUGCUUCUCCGCAGGGUCUCUGUCUCUCUUCUCUCCCCCCAAAUCACUUCUUUCUAUUUUUUAAAAAUUGAAUAUUGCCAUGUUCUUUAUUUUCAUGACUGCAAUUUAAAACUAACAUCUAUCACAUCUUUUUCUUUUAAAGGGAUUACUCUCACCUUUGCCACUGCAGCCUUAAUUAUAUUGGAUAAAAAACAAUACUCUAGUUCAUUUUUUGGUUAUCACUGUUACAUUAAGAACAAUAUACAAUAAAUGCAUAGUUGAAUGUUUUUUUACACAGAACACAGUGAUUGAUCCUGUGCAGAAUUUCCAUAGCGUUGUAAUUUAUUAUAUUCACUUACUAUUUUUUUUGCAUUCAAUUCUUGAAAAUGUAAUGUUUAAAUAUAUUGUUCAUUUAUUUACAAUACUCUUUAAAAUGUUGAGAUUUUUUUAUAUAAAAAAAGUUUAAUUUUAUGUGAAAUUACAAAUGUUCGUAUGCAUUUGAAUGCAACGCUCCGAGCCUUCAUGACCCAGCGACCUGUGAAGGAAACAUUCUGCCCAGCAACGCCUCCGGAUUGGAUGAGCAGCCCAGGUGCAGGAUGGGACAUGGUCCGCCAUCUUACAAACAGUUGCUUCCAACACUGUGAGGAAGCGCACGCUCGGAGCUGUUCUUCGUGUGUAUGCCUACUUACAUGUUUAUUGUUGAUAAGCCAGCCUGAAGAAAAUUUAUUUUGAUCGAAACGUUGCAACCUUGGCUUGUAUUAUUUUUUUAUUAAACCGAAGUUGAUCGGUAAAUCACGUUUCCUAGUUUAUUAUUAGCAUAGCCUCCCAGUAUUAGCAUAGCUUCUUAGCCACGUGUGACGGAGGUACCUUCUGCAACGGGCCGAACUAAACCAGGACCACAGUAAGCCAUGCCACCGCGCCCACACGACGACGGAUGGAUACUGGUGCAGUCCAGAGGAGGCAGACGGAGGGAACGGGCCUAUGAACGCGACAGGCCACAGAACAGACGUGCAGCUGCAGAUUUUCCCAGCUACCCACGCCGAGACGGACGCCGAUCCUAUGCGGACGUCACCAGAGAGGGAGCCCAUUUUCUGGAGCCGACCUUCUACGGCAGACAGCAGGUGAGACAUCGCCCUGCACCGCAGCCGUUCUAUAGCGGGCCGCGCUACCCAUUUCAAGAUGGCGCUCGGCGUGCGCCAAGACCUAGGCCACGCGGUCCCUCCAACCAAAAUGGCAACUACGUCUUUGUACCAGCAGGUGCUCGGAAUGAAGCCCCCCCCACAGGGUACAGUCUAAUGACCCUGAUUUUACAGAGAAGGUGCGUGUAAUGAACAGACUGAUUAAAGCUGUACACCACCUCACCAAUGUGUCCAGAGAGGCUCAUCCUCCCUCCCUGGACAAAAUAACAAACAAUCUAGCUACAAUUAUCAAACCAGCAUCCCCAAAUCUACAAACACAGACUUUGAUUGACGGCAAUGCUAGAAAUUGGGCCUUCACUACCGUUCUCAUCCUCAGAGAGCAUUAUCAAAAGAACAUUGACUCUGAAAUGCAAAAGCUCACCCAGUUUCCUUCACCGGACUGGAGAGGCCCCUUUGAAAUAGCCACAACGUGGGCGAAACGUAAUUUAGGCAGACGCCUGAGACAGGAUACAAUAGACCGUGCCCAGGCGGUCAUCAUUGCCAGGACGACAGAAACAGCACCUCCUGCUCCUCUUCCUGCUGCUGCCGUUUCUUCUCUCCCAACGCAGACAGCUGACCAGACAGAAGAGGAGGACCCACAUGCUGUGAUUGAGCUGGCUCCAUCAUCACCUCCAGUGAACCAGCCUCCCUCCACGAGACCACAGAGCCCAGCUGCAGCACGGCCACCCCCUUCACCACAAAGCAGCAGUCAGCAGAUCACCACCAUCGCCCAAAUCCACGCAGCGCCUCCACCUGCGCCAAUCUCCCGGGUUUCAGUGGAGACCAUGACAGAACCACAACAGGAGGACUGGUCACCUCUGUUUGACCUGGAGGAGGCAAGUGAAACAGAACUUUCUCCUCCGACAUCCCCAUCUCGUCUUUCUCCUGUAAUCCCUCUUCCACCACGCAUAAAUCGCUCUCAAAUAAGCUCUACGGCAGAAAGUGUCGUACGAGUUCUCGACAUGCAGAAGGCUGACUCUGAAGCCGAAGAGGAAAUCACUCUGGAGCCAGAACCAGCAGAUGAGCAGAUCACAGCGCUGAGCCAGAGAAAAGGAAGCCAACGCUCCCCCCACAGAGAAGGGAGUCCUCCUCCUCCUCCCAUCCAAACCAGCACCAUGGAGAGCAGAGGGUACCACACACUCACCCCUGCCACUCUCUCCAAGCUGAGAUCCAGCGUGCAAUCUCGCCUAGCCAUCGAGCGAGCAGAGCAGACGACAACUUCUGCAGCAGAAAUGCAGGUGUGUGCUCCAACACGACACGACAACACGCCCCGCAAAUUUACAGAGUGGCACCUGCACAUACAACAGAAGAAGGUCAUCAUAGGAGACUCAAACAUCAGCCGCCUUCCACCUUUUAAAGGUGGAAAUGUACAAUUGGACAGUUUUCCUGGCGCCAGAUGGCAUCAUGCAGAAUUUCUCCUGAAGACGGCCACCUUCCAGACGGAACCAGAGGUUCUCCUGCUAUCCUUCGGCCUCAACAACAGAUCCCAGAGGGAUAAAAAAGCUCCAGUGAAAGAGAUGAUCAAAGCCCUGACUGUAGCAGGACAGAGAUUCCCAGACGCCACGAUCUUCGUCCCUCACGUCAGUUUUUCACCUCACCUUUCACCAGAUGAAAAAGCCGUCCUUAUCCAUUUAAAUCAACACAUCCAAGAACUGACAGACUACAUCCCCCCACUCAGUGGCUUCUUUGAGACCCAAACUGACAGCAUCCACUGGACGGCAGCUACCGCGAAGAGGAUUCUGGAACACUGGGCUUCGUGGUUAAACUGAAGCUCCCUUUAAGCCUCUCACAGAGGGAGGGGAAAGAUGGAGUCAUGAAUCUAUGUGAUAACUUUGUUCUUUCUCUCACACAGCUUUCCCUGCUGAGCAGAGGUCUUACUUUCAUCCCUUCCAAAUGUAACAGUACCUCGACGACAUCUGGGGCGUUUGGACGCACUCUGAGCAGGAGUUUGGAACCUUCCUGGGGACUCUCAACAGCCACAACCCUUCCAUCAAACUCAAAUCAACAUGCCACGCCUCUUCAGUCGA
Molecule: non-coding RNA, 4048 nt
Organism: Oryzias latipes (Japanese medaka)
Lineage: Eukaryota; Metazoa; Chordata; Actinopteri; Beloniformes; Adrianichthyidae
Source: RefSeq, a predicted model, not a curated record